ACCAUCAACCUCAUCUCCUCCCUCCUCUCCUCACCUCUUUCUCUCCGUCUGCUGCCGCUGCUCUCACAUCACACUCCUGUCUGUCUGUCUGAUGCGCUUUCUAUCCGGUAAGAGAGGAUUUUUAUGCACAAUAAAGGAGCCAGUUUAUGAUGAAUGCAGCAGGGAAAAUACACGAAGAUGUGAAGAGGGGGGGGAAAGCCACUAAACAAGAACAGGAGCUGUUAUGCACGUGAGAAACACGGGAUACGAGGUACAUCUCUCUCUCUCUCCCUCCCUUUCUCUCUCUCUCUAACUUGAUGCUACUGUAGGCCUAUUUAAAUGAACUGCAUAUUCCUUUAUUCUCUUAAUCAACACGAGAGUCUAAUUGGAGGUAUAAUUAUUGGAUUAAAGUCAAUAUUAUAAAACACGAAAUAGGUGAAGUGUUGUGUGCGUAAUUUUAGAUAUAUUUCAGUGUUUUAUUUUACUAGAGUUUCCGUAUUGGUGGUGUAAUUUGAUUAGAAUCAGAAUCAGAAUGUCCUUUAUUGUCAUCAUACUAAAAGUACAACCAGAUUGGAGAGCUUCUCUUUUUCCAGUGCAGUAGACAGGUAAAAAUAAGGUAGUAAAAGUAGUAAUAGUCGUAAGAAAGAAGGUACUAUAUAAACAAGACGAGUAUUUAUUGGUGCAUGUAGUCUUAAAGAAAAUUAAGUUACAUCUGAAAACGAAGCCAUAUUCCAAGUCCUAGCAAUCUCUCUUAAAUUAUUGCAAGCUCAUUUGUAUUAAAACUUGUUAUGGCGAAUAAUUGAUGAGUUUAAUUGAGAUAGUGUAAUAACAGCAACAUGGUCACAAUCAUUUUACGCAUGAUACGGCCUUUAGAGAGCCAAAGACUCAGCAGAAAAUCUCACCCAUGUCCUGACAGGUUUUUUUUUUCCUAAUCUCGCGAUUAAUCGACGCUAAAGUUUCUGCAAACUCCUGAAUACUUAAUGAGGCCAUGUGCUCAUGAGAGAAGUAUUCGUGUAUUAAGAAGAAGAGGAGGAGGUGGAGGUGGUGGAGGAGGAGGUGGAGGAGGAGGCCCGGGCAGCGCUGCAGUGCAGAGUUCAGCAGAGAUAUUGUUGUGAGCCUGGGAAAGUGUAGCGGGGCUGACGCCAGACUCGGUCAGGCAGGGAGGGGGGGCACCUCGAGGAUCCCAGACCGGAUUGUCAUGCUAAUGUCUCCCCGGCACGUUGUUGAACUUGAUGUUGACUUCUUUCUUUACUGGGGGGUGAGACAGAAGGGGAGGAGGAGGAGGGGGGUGAAAUUUUCCCUGUCACUUGUUUGUGGGAAAAUCCAAGUGAGGACACACACACACACACACACACACACACACACACACACACACACCAGUUUUUAACAGUCACUACAGUUGAUUUAAUCCUGAUGCAUUAUAUUUCUCAGAAUUAAUACAUUCAAUUCAACUGUAUAUCUUAAAAACCCAAUUGGCUUGUGGUUAAACAUCUUGAAAUACUAACUUGAACAACUCAAACAUUUAUUCCAACAAAACAAGUAUUUUAUGGGAUUGCUUUCAAGUGCUAAAUUUUUGCUUAACUCGGAUAUAGAAAAAACUCUUGUGCAAAAUCUGACCAGAACAGAGUCUAAUAUUUAUAUUUAAUUCAAAAUUGUAAUUUUAAAUUGUGUCUUUAAUUUGUUUCUUGGAUUGAACAUGUCUCUUCAGAAUUUGAGUUUGCAAGGAUACAGAGAUACACGUGCAUUCUCACGCCCUCCUUGCGCAUGCUCAAGAGGAUUGACAUUUGUAGCUCCAGUUAAAAUGCAAAUGCAGUAACGAUGGGUUAGUUUUAAAGGAAGUGUGUGUAGGCCUUCUUCAGCCGUGCACAGUGUGAUGUUAGUUCAAUUACAUUAGGACAGCACUAGAGUCACAGCUGAUUACAUCUACUUAGAAAUGAUGAAGAGUCCGGCUCCUCAUAAAUGAUGAAGAGGAGAACAGCAGUGAUACAGUAUGGAGGAGGUGGUCCUGUGCUGCACCUCCAUGAUACUAACAGAUUGCUCAUGCGCAAUAAUCAGAUAUGUAGCUGCUAUCUGAUGCAAGCUUCGUUGGGAAACCCGGACUGUAGCUGCUCUAUGCUCUGUUAUUGGUUUACCUUUACACACACACACACACACACACACACACACACACACACACACACACACACACACUCCAGCACCUUUUUAAAUAUCAUUUCAAACUUUGAAAGAUAUUACAAGUUGCUAUUCUCGUCUCUGCUUGGCUUCUUUUAUCAAACAGUGUGAUUAUUAUCGCUCGCACUAUCUCAUCUCCUCAGCACAGAUAUCUUUCAUAUCAUAACAUCACUAUCGAUAAGGCUGCAUAUAUUCCCUGAAUAUGUUAUCAGAGUUUGGCUAGCUGUGGGUCCUCUCUGCACCAAGGACAGGAACCAGGAAUUCCUCUGCUCAGUAUGAAUUUCUGUAUUUUUUGUUGGCUAUACUAGACUUAAAAUCAGUGCCCUUGCAGCAUCUUUUUGUCCUCUGCACAUUAUAGACACCUAAGAUCAGAAAAUACACUAUAAUAUUUUUUAUUAAUGCCCCACAAAUGCCAUUAAAGGUCGUAUAGCCUAUUUAAAAAAGCUAUAACAAUAAGAAUGGGGAAAAUGUGCUCUAAAAGCCACAGUCAACCUACAUACAGAAGUAGGGCAGCUGAGAUACUUUAUAACGUAUCUGGUUAUAUUUUUACAAUUAGCUACACAAUAUAAAAGAGAGCUAACGCUUUCAUCUCAAGUUGUUUUAUUAACGUUUUUUGUUUUAGCCUCCUAAACUGACCUUAAAAACCUUAAUUAAAUGAAACAUCUCGACAGCUAUUUUAUGUUGAGGAGUAUUAGCUUAUAACACAACAACAGUUCUGAUAAAUAAGCUAAAUGCUCUUUGAAGAUGGCUGUUUUUUUCUCCAGAAUAUUGAAUUCGAGAGAUUUUUUCUGGACUGCUAUGAACUACAAUUAUAAAAAUAAAGAGCAGUUGUCAGAGAAAUUUCUACCGUAUGGGUUUUUCAUACAAUGCUGAAUUAAUUUCACCAAAAUAUACCUUUUAUCGAUGUUAAAAACUGUAAAUGUCACAUAACUCCACCUGCCCCCCCAUUCCCCCUCUUUUUAAACUUAUCUUCACGCGCUUCUUCUCUGUCUUCUCAUUGGUCUGUUGUCUAAUGAGGAUAAUUGGUGCAAUAAACCACUGAUUGACGCACACCUGCUUUCAAUUUCCAAUAGGCUUUAAUUACUCUCUCUCUCUCUCUCUCUCUCUCUCUCUCUCUCUCUCUCUCUCUCUCUCUCUCUCUCUCUCUCUCUCUGAGGCGGAGUUUGUCCCCUCUGCUCUCUCUCACUGGGUGCACGCUCUGCACUUGUCAGUCAGUCGCAGCUCGCGCGUGCGGGAGGGAGGGAGGACACAUUGAAGCUCAUAGAAAGCUCGUGCGACAGUUUUAUCCUCGAUGAUUAUUUGUUUUUUUUUUUACUCUAUUUCCUCUGAUUGGAUGCGUUCAGAUCACGCAUCGAUCUCGGCGGGAUUGAAAUAGUUGGAGGAUAUUGACUGGAGUGGAGUUAGCUUAAUGUGCAAGUAAGUGGGAUGCUGCCUUUAUGUGAUUGAGUUGUCUCUGGCUUCUGUGUAUUUAUAUUUUAUUUUAGUCCACAGCCUGCUUUUUAAAGGCAGUUGCAUGUAUUCCUGGAGGCUGCUUAAUUCUGGUGUGUUUCUUGUAAACUGUAGCUGUGACAUUAGCAUUAAAGGAUGUUUGGUGGGAACUUUAUUGUCUUAAAGGCCCACUGCUGUGUGCCUCAAAACUGAUGCAGUCCUAACAAUGUAUAUAUAAAAAAUAACAACAACCCUGACAGCCUAAAAAAUGGGUUUAUUUACCACCAAAUGAUUGGGACAGGGUUGCAAAUGGAUGGGUUAGUGUGUCUGAUAAGGCCUUGCUUCAAGUGUUUCAAGGCAAAAAGUGCCACCUCAGCAUCAAACCGAGACUGUGGUUGAGCAUGCUUAGAGUUUUGGCAUCACAGUGUGUUUUAAAAUGGUUUCUUAAAGUUGAACUUCAUGAUGGGCCGAGAUGUGUGAGUGUGUGUGGAUGUGAAACACGUCUUUGAAGCCAGUGCCUCAUUUUAUUCAUCUAUUGAACUUGUUUUCAUCUCCUUAUGAGAAUUUCACAGCUGAAAUCCACGGUAGAGCUUUUCUUUUAUUGUGCAUCUUGUCUAUAUGUUUUGUGUGUGUGUGAGUGAGUGAGUGAGUGUGUGUGUAUGAGGAGCUCAGUGUGAACACAGGCAGCCUCUCUUUCGCUCUCUCUCCCUCCUUCAUCCUCUCCUCUCUCUCUGUUGGUGUUGGAGGGGCGGCCCCUUUAAGAGACGACGGGUGUUAGUUUGUGUCUUUGGUUAUCUAGCUGUAUGAGUUUUAAUUUCAUAAAGCUAGAGAACCGAAAGUACGAACUGACGCCGAGCACUUCGGAACCCAGGUGAUGAUGGGGGGGAUCCUCUCGCUCGCUCCGGCAUGGAGGAGGAAGAGGGGGAGGAGGAGGAAGCAGCAGCGGCAGGAGGAAAGCAGCAGCAGGGACGGAUGCUGAGGGGAGGCUGCACGAGGCUUCCGUGGAGGAGGAGGAGGAGGAGGUUGUGGAGGUUUUAGAGCUCGAGCAGAAACCCCCGGUGUGAUGUGAAUGUCGUUGGUCCACCUCAGGUUCAGAGGAGUCCUCCGCGUGUCUGCGAGCGCGUGAAUGUUGCUGCGUUUAAGGGGCUCGUGUUGUGGGCACCGCGGUGAUGCUUAAGGCCUAUAAUGAUGAAGAAAAUUGACAUUUCGUUGAAACGUUGCGCAUGUGGACAGUGCGCACCAAAACCUCCUCCGUGUGUUGUCGAGUAGUUGUCAUAACUGUGUGGGUGUUCUUACAUUAAUAUCUGGAGGGGCUUGACAGAAAUAGUUAAAAGAUUCCUCUGAUUGGUCCAACCUGGAAUCACGUGACAGUGUUGGCAGCAGCAGUAACUCGGUAUUUCAGAUCUCACAUGUUGGUUAUUGUGUUCUCUUUCCAGGUGGAGAAGUUAGCAUUGAGCAGCAAGGCCCCAUUAAUUAGAUUAAUUAGUUCUCUUGGGUUGCAUCUAGACUCCCUCACUCCCUUGUUUGUUUCUUUCAUUAUGUUGUUGACUAACUAUUUCCUCCUGGCUGUAAAGGAGUGUUAACUAUAAUAGUGUAAAAGGGUUUGGAAUGGUCUGAUCAAGUAUUUUAGCUCUGUGAAUUAAAAACAUACAUUUGUUUUGUUUCAGUUUUUUCAGGGUCACCUAAUGUGGGGUGUUUGACCAUUUGCUACCAAACCAAAACAUGCAGCAUAUACACCACAUCCAGAUCACCAGUGCAAACAAAAAAAAAAGAAAAACAGGCCCUAUGCACCACCAUCUUCAUCCUGUUUCCAACAUGCUCUCAUCACUGCGUUUGAAUCCGGGUUAGACAUGGCAGAUGCGUUCAAAUUUGUGUUUUGCAGGGUGGAUUAUUUUUGUGUUUGCCUGCUAGAUAAGAACAAAAUAGGACAUGGGCUCAGAGUUUGAUCUAUUCUUAGAGCGGAAUCAGCGAGCCUCGGAGAUGACUGAAUAUCCCUGAAGUCCCAGCAUGCUCUAUUUAGACCAUGACUGACAACAUUUGAUGUGCGCCGUUAGACAAGAGAGCCGGGAUGGUGUGUGAGCGAGUGUGCGUGUGUGUGUGAGUGUUGUUGAUGCUUGCAUAUGUGAACUAAUGUGCUAACAUACGAUUUGACCCCCAUGUCCUCCAUCUUGGUGUGAUACAAAGCAGAUCCUGGUGACGAUUCCACCUCAAUGGUUACAGAUUUUAGCAAAGGCAUUGUUGCGUCCUAUAAACAGUCAGUAGCAUAUGGCAACUUUGCUGCUGCUCUGGAGACAUAUACCACACAUCAUUGUUUUUUGGUGUGUUUUUCUUCUUAAUGUGUGACUCUUCCAGCGUCACUUUAUGUUUUUUGCUUUUCUUAAGCUGUUGAUUUACUGUUGAAGCAACAGAAAAUAUAAACAUGCUCUCUCAGGAGCAAAAUAAUUAAAAGUGUGUGGAGAAAAAAAAGCAAACAUGAAGUGCUGUUAGCUGCAAGGUCAACAACACUGCAUUCAUUUCUUCUUUUCUUCCACUGCAUUGAAAGCCUCUAUUUAUCCCUUAAGUGAUUUGUUUUGUUGAAAAGUAAGCAUACCCUGAUCUUCUUUUCUUUUCUUUUCUCUUGAUAGGAAAAUGACACCACCUCGGGAUAAAGACAAGCUGCCACCAGACAGGAUGAGGAGCGACAGAGAGCCUGCAGGUAAAUAUCAGAGAAACAUUGAGAAAUUAUCCCCUUGUUACAAGAUAAUGCUGCUGAAAGCACCAAGAGUUUGGGUGUUUGGGUAUUUAACCUUGUACAUAUUUUGUACGUAUCUUUGAUGUUUUGAAGUUGUCACUGUCAGUGUUUGCUAAUAGGAGCUCUCAGAUGGUUUCAUUUUUUAGAGUCUUGCAUAAGUGAUGGUGCAGCAUUCCUGGUUCUUGAUUUUCUUCCAUAUUUGUUGAGCUGUGAGGAUGGAGCUUGUUGUGUGUGUGCAUGUGUGUGUGUGUCGUGUGGGUGUUAAAAAAAAAAAAAGUCUGACCCUGUAUUUCUGAAAUAUUGAGGAUUUUCUGUUUUGCAUCAAGAAUGACUUGUGCUGUAGUGGACCACGCACGUCUUAUUCAAGCAGGAAGGAGCGUUAAGCGGGACAUUUAUAAGCUGGUUUUACUCGGCCACAGUGUAAAUGUCUGUUUUAUAUCAUCCAUAUAUGUAUCAUUCAGACUGUGUGGAGCUAUAGUACCCUACAGCACCACAGAGUAAACGCUGUGAUUUGAGCUAGUGAAGUAAGACCUCCAUAUUGAAUUCCAUCAUUCCUUUGAAGUAUUAACAUCUUUUACAUUGUACAUCACCCCCAUCCUCCUCCUACACACACACACACACAUGCACACACACGUCUCUCUUUCAUACUCUCACGUCCAGCGUUUUAUCCCUUUAAACACUGUGAUCCUAUUUGUCAGGUAGAGUGUGUGGUAGGUGCAGGGGAGGUGGCCGUGUAAUCUUUGCUGCGGUUCUUUAUCCCGUUAGGAGAACGCGUACGACGUUUGGAGCUGCUCAUGUGGAAAGAGCGUUUGGGUGGCUCUGUCCUUUUUGGCGCUAAUGCCUAGACAAGUCACCCUCCCCUCGCUCAAAGUCUCCUGAUUAUUGUGAGCAAAGUGACGGCAUGCAUAGAGGUAUGCAUGGUUUAGCGAAGGCAGCAUUAGGUCAAAGUUGGAAUAUCGUAGAUUACAAAAGGGAGCUAGGAAGUUAAGCACAGUGAGAAGUUUAUUUUUUCACUUUUAAAUCAAAAUUUAAUUCCCAAAUCUUUUGGCUCUUGAGGAAUAAAAUGUUUUGGUGUUAUUUUAGCGAGGACUGAAACAGACAUUCCUCGCUUUUCAGUUGUCUGUCUUUUCCCUCCAAUUCCACCCCCAAAAAAGUCCCACGUUAGGAAUUAAACAAUAAGUACACAUUGUUAGCAAGGUCAAAUCUUCAUGGUUCCACAACCUUGAGGCUCAAUCUAAAGCUCAGUUAUUCAAAUUUAGUGUGGCGUUCUUUAAGGCGCCCAGAUUUUCCCAAGCUUUCGAUUAGCAUAUGCAAGGGCCGGCCUGUGCUGCUGUUUUCUAAAGUGGAUGUAAAUUAUAACCUCAGUAUUAUACAGGCUGAUGGGAGAUAAAUCUCUGCAGUAAUGCAUUGCAGGGAGUGGGGGUAGGGUGGGUGGGGGUGCUGUAAAGGGGUUGUGCGUUUGUGUGUGUGUGUGUGCGAGGUACUGUACAAUAGCCGGUGGCAGAUGGAAUACAGACUAGCAAAGGGCUGGCUGAUAGCAUGCUAAACUCCCUUUUUACCGGCUUUAGUUUGUCCGAUUUUUACAGAUCCUGGACAAAAAAGCAGAGAUUUUCAGAGGAGAUACUUCUGAAAUAAAAAUGUUAAAUCAGCUACAUUACUGGCGAGAUGAAUUUGCAAGUGUGUACACAUUGUUUUAAAACAAAUAUUAACACAGGAAGAUUACUAAGUCGAAAUCUGCACUUGUGCGGUCCAAAGGGCUGAGGCUUCAGGCCUCACGAGCUGAGUGCAGAUCUUUUUGGAAUCUCUAUGCAAACUAGGGCUUGAAUAAUGAGAUGUAUUUAUGAAGGGCUGGGAAGGGGGUCCCUGCUUUUGAAAGCAAGUAGGCCGGAGCCUGAAUGGGAUGGAGGGAGGUGGGGUUGAAGGAGAAGGAGGGGGGGAUGAGGGGUGUGUGUGUGUGUGUGUGAGAAGAGGGGGUACAGGGGGCCCCCAGCAGCCCGGGCCUCGGCUGAGGCAGCUGUGAAAAGGGGUCCCGUCUUUUUCCCACGCCCAGCAAGACGCGAAACACUGCCGCGGCUCGCUAGGGUCAAGUCCCAUCGCUAAUAUAUACACGCAUACAUACACACGCACGCACGCACACGCGGGGAGAGCGAGGGAGAGUUGUGUGUGUAAAAGUUGUGCAAAUUAACAAGCUGUCUGGGAAGCUCUGUGACAUAGGGACACCUGCUAUACUCCCAGAAUGCUUUGCAGCCUCAUCAAGGGCCACUGGGACAACAAUUAGGUCAUAGCUUCAACUUGAACUUAAAAAUUGGCUGAAGAUUGAAAAGAGUCUGGAUCAUAUUUCUCUCUGCUGUUUUCGAUCUAAACGUUAAAAAAAUAAAAAUAACACUUUAAUGAUUCUGCUCUUGCUAAGUUUUAAAAAUACAGUUUCUAAAAUAGUUUUCUAAAAUAGUGAUCAUUGUUAGAUUUUGAAGGAAAACGUGCUUUUUUUUAUUUUUGCAACUCUAGUGUGCAAAAACACAAGUAAAUGCUGAAAUGUUGAACUUGUACGAUUGUUGCUGUGUCCAUUGACGCAGAGACAAACUUGGCCUUGUGCUUGAUCCGAGACCCUAACUGUCAACUUGGCAUUGUCUGUCUGCACACACCCAUGAUCCCACCCACCCACACGCACGCACACACACAGAGCUUGUCUCAGGGACACACAAAAGAGAAUUUGAACAUGAAUUGGAGGAAGGUUGGAGAAAGAUAUUGAGGAAUGUUUUAAGUCUGAACUCUGACCUUUUGUGCUUCUUUAAAUUUGAAAACAGGCACAAUGUGAGAGACCAAAAACACUGACGACCGACGAUGAGCCUGAAAAGAGAGGCAAAAAUCCUACUCUUAAAAAAUAAUCUCCUUGGUCUAAAUCUUGUGUGAAAUUGUAGUUUCUUGUUUAGAUAUCAGCUUGUAUCUUUGACCACCCAUUGUUGUUUACAGCAGCCAUGCUCCUUUCUUCCUCUUGAAGCUGGUGUCACACCCAUUCCUCCCCUCAAGAUACUGGCACACCAAUCAAAUCGGUGCAUCACUUCUUUCACUCCCCGCCGUAGCUGCAUCAGAGCGGUGUCACACUUAUUCUCUUCCCCCUGCCUACUCCAGCUACUUUCUUGAAUUCCACAUGGAGACUCUCCUGUUAUGGUUUUUAGAAUAUUAGCAAAAGCAUCCAAUCUUUUUCUUUUUUUGGUGUCUCACCCUCCUCCUCCCCUGCUCCUCCUCCUCCUCCUCUUCGUCAUCAUUUUCCCUCCUAUUCAGAGAAGUCUGAAAUAGAGAGGGGGCUCCUUCUAAUUAGCUCUGUAAAGAUGCUUUGUGGCGGUCAGUGUGGCCACCAGUGUGUGCAGAGAGAGGUGAUGUGUGACAGCUAGUGUUAGCAUUAAGAACAUGUGUAUGGGCCCUUAAUGAGGUUUGUUAGCUGAGUGUGUAUCCUGCCGUUUGAAUGCACCCUCGGCAGCCUUUGAAGGAACGGAGAUGAAGAGAGCGAGGAGGAGGAGGUGGAAAAGGAGAGAGGAGUCUUUCAGCGUGGCAGGUUGCAGAAUACAGAUUAUGCAUUAUGCUCAGUGUGGUUUCUAUUUGAACGGAAGAUGAGGGGAGCAUAAUGCUUCACUUGCACGUUGUCUGGGGAAAACGUGGGAAAUAAACGCAGGUCAUCUCGCUCAUCAGAUGUAAAGGAGUUAUUUACCUGGUCUUAUGACAUUUGCAGUGAUUCCAGUAAGUCUUAACGGUAUAAGAUAAGCGAAACAGGAGAGCGAUAGAGCUGAUUUCCUGUAAAUAUAAGAUCAAAAUUCAUCUCUAUGUUUGUAUUUUAUGUAGUUUUUUUUUAAGGUCAAGCUUAUUAACAAGAUAUAAAAAGAAAGGGUAAAAAAAAUAGUAAAUGAUAAUAUAAAAUCAGUUAGAAGAGAGCUAACAAAAACAUCCAAAUUAAGAUUAGACGCGACAAAUUUAAAUAACCAAAUAAAAUAUCUAAAGAGCCAAAUGGAGAUAUAUAACUGCACAUCCUCAAUCCUGUUAGACCAGAUCAUGUUGAUGUACAGUAUGAUUCAGAAAGGACUCCCAUACGUUAUAAAAUGUUUAAUUAUUGUCACGCCGCCAAGCUUCUGGUGCAUGAGAGGCCUUAUGCUAAUUCGUUUAUAAUAUGUAGUCAUGAAUGGGGCAAAGAAGGACAGGAGCGAACUCACUGGAAAAGAGAGCACCAUUUAUAAAUCUGUAUUGGGACACCGAAGUGUUUGGAUCACCAAUUAUUUGUUAGUUUUUCUGCUUUUAAGGAUUUUACAAUGAGGAAACACACUACUGUUCAUCCAUGGAUAGACAAUCAGGAAAUAAUAAUCAUGUACUAUGAGGUGAGAAACAAACAUUUCAGACAGAAUGUGGAGCAGAUUUGGUGGUUAUCCUGGAGAUUAGAGAUGUCGAGCUGCAGAUGAGAGCCAGAGGUGGAAGGUAGAAGCUGAGAAAAACCAGGUUGGGAAAUGAGGGAUUGUAUGGAGGCAAAGAGGCGACCUGCUGGGCUUGCCUGCUGCCUCACAGAUUGUAAACUGUCACUCAGGAUGCACACAGACAAGCAGACAGACAUCAUUUGCCCACAUCACCCUCUACUACUGAAACUGUCGCCCCGCAGCCCCCUACUGCUCCCCUUCUUUUUCCUUCCCUUCACUCCAUUUCCAGGCCUUUUUCUCCUUGGCGCGUGCACAUGCAUGUAUAUAAACUCCCUAAUCUAUUUCCUCUAUUUUCCAGCUCCUCUCCUCUACUUUUCUCUCUGUCUCCGGGUUUUCCGUUGAUGAAAUGAGUCAGCUUGCAGCAUACUCUCCCCUCUCAUUGUUCGCUGGUUCGUUGCCUCUCCAUAGGAGGUAGAGAGUGUUUGGGCUCUUUCCCCUGUUUUACCAGUUUACCAGUGUAAUCCUUUACAGCGGCACAAUGAGCUCUCACUCCAGCCGCAGGAUUCUAUUAGGCUCCCAGAGAGACAUGGGAUCUCCAUAAACAUUUUCCAUCUGCCCCUGAACCCCCACCCACCCUCCCUACACAACCUAUACCACCUCAAACACAGCCAAAAUAAUACUUUCCUUUAUGCAUUAAAAGCAGAACUCUGUUUUUUACCCAUCCACAGAGAAGAGAGAACAAAAUCGUACACACGCACAUUACAAACGACUUGUUAAUGCUGUCAGCUUCACUCCCAAAACAGUGGUCUUUUACAACUGCAGAACGAAUAACAAGCAGCCGGGGACAAGCAAAUGCUUGUUAUAUGGUCUUUGGAGGAAAACAGAAGAUGUUUAAAAAAAAACGCUGAAAUCAGAGGAGGAUGUGAUUUGUGCUCCGUGCUGAAAGUACAAUGCCGUUAAAGUGUGCGGAUAAACUCCUCAAUCUGUUAUCUCAUGCUGGUGGUGCAGAUCAGAGUUGGAGCCGGUUUUGUGUUUCAGUGAAAACUUUAAAAAAUGUACAAAAAUAAGUCACUUUAUUUGAAUCCGGUAGAAGAAAGUAGUUCAGGAAAACAGCUCAGCACUAGUAGAAGAGCACAUCUUCAGAUUCAAAUACUAGAAUCAGCAACACAUAGAAGCAGCGUUUAAUGAAAACUCCUUCAACUUUGGGUUUAUUAACUUGGGUGAGCCUUUGAUCAAAGCUGUUUUUGCUUAUCUUGUUUUAUACAUGAGUGUAAGUGUUUUCUUUUCUCCUCUUUUUUCUUUUAAAAGUCACAUGUAUCACUCAUUGUGAAUCUUUGCUCAGAAAAUGUUGCUCCAGCAGUGUGCGGUACUUUGUCUUACACCCACAGCAGCAAUUUUAAGUAAAAACUUUAAGAGUUUUUAGGCAACUGGAAUUAAUAUUGUGCCAUAAAAUAUUUCAACCAGCUAUGCACUCAAAAGUCAGCCUGCUGCCUCAUACAGACUUUUUGACCUCUCGAGACACAGGAAACCAAACGCAUUGGUAGCUGAUUUUAAAGUUUUUUAUGUAUUUUUUAUGUUCUAUACAUGCAGUCAUGGCUAAUUCUGAAAACAAUCCCCCAAGAUUCAGACAAAUAGUUGAGUAAAUAGCUGAUGCCUUGUGUGCUGUUUUAAACUCUGCCUUGAACAAAUAGAGCAUGCAGAAAUAGUUGACACACAUUCACCGUGUUAUAAGAGCAAUCAGGACAAAGACUGCUGUGCUUUUUUUUUUUUAUCAAAUAAAAUUCAUAAAGUGUCCUGUUCUAGUUUCCAAUCAGAAGCAGGAGCUGACUGAGGCGAUGAGCAGCCUUUGAUUGACCUUAAACGAAGAAUCUGGUCCUCGAAAAAAGACAAAUCAGGAUUAUUUGAACGUUUUUUUGUGAAUUGCCAAAUUAAAGCCCCAGUGAUGACUGACCUGAUACUGACUACUGAGGGCUACUUGAUUUAUCUUCUUUAUUGAAUCUGAUUUUGUGCUUGAAAUUGAUGUAACUCUUGAGGCUUCCUCAGAUGUAGAGUUAACCCUUAAGUCUAACUUUGUUAUUCUGUUAAAUGUGAAAGAAUAAUCACCUUUAACUCUUAAAAAUCCCAGCCUGUGUAUUGCUGCUGAAAUGCAUUUUUUUCAACAUCCCCCUGAUUUGUUCAAGUCCAAAGCCACGGGUCACACAGUGCUUCUUUCUCCCCCCCUCCGUCCCUCUCUUGCUCCUCCUCAUACACAAACAUAUCCCUCCAUCUCCUGUCGGCCUCCCUCCUCCUGCCCCUCCGUCCUUCCCUCUCCUCCUAUCUUGAUAAUGCAGCUCUUUUCUCUCUGUCGGGGUGGAGGGCUGCCUGAACCAACAUUGUCCCCUAUGCCGGCUCUAGUGGGGGGCCCUAUUGUGUGUGAAGGAAUGGGGAGUUAACACCCAUGUCUGAACCUGCUCAAUGGGUGCAUUGUGUCUGAAUCUUCCCUCGGCUCACCCAAUCUCACCCUGCGUCUCUCCUGCCCUUGCACGGGCCAAGGAAGGCAGGGUGUCCUCCAUGUCCUCAGCCAUUAAAAACAGAAAACAUAAACACAACUCAAAACUCACAAACACUCAAACUGGUAUUCUCAGCUCUUUGCUUUCUGUGUCCGGUUGAGUUUUCCAGCAAACUGCAGUGGGUUCAACACACUCCUGCACAAAAAGUGGGGGGUCAGUGGGUGCAUGGUUACUAAAGGAGGCCCCUGCGUCUCGUUUUUGUUAUAGAACAGAACAGAGAGAUGUAUAAAGGACAAUAUUGUAUUAGCAUGAUAACAGGAUUCAGAUGCUUUUUGAAAUAUCUCGAGUUGUAGGGCGUCGAUUGAAUCGGCUCAAAUUAUUACGUUAGAUUCAGCAAAGUUUCAAAGCAAAUCGUUCAAAAGAAUCUGAGGCAUGAUUAAAAAAGAUAUUAGACAUAAUGUUGAACCCUAUUGAAGUAUAAAGUGGAUUUUUUAUUGUGAGUUUUAAUGAGAGUGAUUUAUAUUUCAGGUUAAACAUUUAAAACAAUGAGCAGAAAUGGACUCGUCUGUUUCAGUAUUCUGAACAUUUAUUUGUUUCUGUAGCAGCGAGAGCCUUGGGGCAGGUUACAAAAGAGCAAGUUGGUGUUUUCUUCCCACAUAUUUUUAAUCAAAGUGUUAGUGUUUACAUUUGCAUUUGCAUUGAGCACAGGGAGGCUGAAUGCCAAAGGUGAGAUUUUGAAAAACACUCUAUUUUCCCUUUUUUUGCAGAUGGAAACAAGGGUGGGUGGUUGGAAGGCUGCAUAAAGGCUGCUGGAUGACUGAACUCAGAGACCCGGUGCAGCUCAUCAUCAUUGCCACGGGCUUUCGUCUUCCUCCUCUUUCUCCUGUGGCCCCGUACCAUUCCAUCCAGGGGUCCAGCAGAGCCAGCGAAGCCCAGGCGGGGAGCUUGUGAGUGGGCUGGGAAGGAUGGAGAAGCUCCCUGAAGGCUCGGAGCACCUCUGGAGCUAGCGGCGUGCAGGAGAAAUCAAUAUGAAACACAGAGCGCUGCACAGCUCUGAGUGGGGUUUCCUGUGUUAGUCUGCGGCCUCGGGGCCCGCAGACCUCCAAAGGACAGGCCCUGCAUGGCCCCUCUCAGCUGCAGAACCGGACCUCAGUUCCGAUCUCCGCUGGCUGUGUGUGGUUCUGCUGAAGGGGAUUGCUCCCCAAAUAAUACCCAGAAUGUGGAGAGACCGCCGAGAGGGAUAUUUCUUUUUCUCUUGAUUUUUCCUUCCUUCAUAAGAUUGACAUAUCCCCCACCUCCUGCCUCCAGCUGCUUAAAAACCAGUUUGGGAGAUCUGCUUUGGACUCUCUCUCCGUUCUCAACUCACCCGCUGUUUAUUCCCUGACCAGUUUUUAGAUUUGACAAAGAGACAGUACGAUCUUUAUUUUCUCCUCCACUUUCUCUUGGCUUGCAGUUACCAUGGUGAGCUGUAGAUGUGUCUGUUACGACCAGAAACGCAGGUACACGAAGUUUCAGCAUCUUUUUUUUUUUUUUUUGCUCCUCCAUGAUGUCUGCUCUUCAAUGCAAGACUGUAAAAAAAAAGUUCCCAACCACAGAGAGGGAGGAAGAUCACAGAGCAGAGAGACCCUGACACUCUGUAGAGGAGCUGGUGAAAUGGCAAGUAUCUCUCUUAAGCACUCAACAUAUUCCACUCCAUGAACAGCUCUCAGUGUGCUCUCAUUAAGUCAAACCCUGCCUCAUAUGGUGCUGCAUGUGUGUGUUUGUGCUCCCUUGUACCUCACAUGGUUCAGGGGGAUGUCAAUUACAGCUUCAAACAGAGGUUUCCCAAACUCUCAGAAAUACUUAGAAGUUAAAAAAGUUAAUCGGCAUAUUUUCAUCAAACCCCUCUGAUCAGUUGAAAAAACGUGUUUCUGUAUUCUCCAGCACAGAGCGCUCUGUUUGUGUGUGUAAGUGGUCUGUAUACGCUCCCAUUUGAACGGGUUUGCCAGUGUGCAGCAGCAGCAGCAGCAGCAGCACCCACAGCUCGUCAUCACAGCGAUGCAGUACGCCUGUUCCCAUCCAGAUGGGCACAGAUUCAGACAAAAUGGCCGCCAGUCUUCCCACUCUGCCAAAGAUGGCGGGCGCAACUCUGUCGCCUGCCAUCUGUGCAUCCGUUAGCUGUUGUCCAAUGCAAAUCAGGGCUAAUUGCAUUUGCAUAACCUCCAAACCGUCAGGUCGUUUGCACGCUCUGGUAAUUGCUCGUAUGAAGCGACGGCGUAGAUGACGUUCAAGCAGAAGCGCGUUCGUGUUUUAGCGUGUUUUGGGGCAUAAGUGUGUGGGUUGUUUUUUUUUAGGUUGUGGGUUUUGGCGUGCUGAAACAUGUCUGAUCGCUCCCUGAGAUCAAGAGUGUGGUCGUUCUGUGCCAUAUGGCGUGUUUGCGUGUGAUUCCCUUGCAUGCAAAUGUGACACUGUACUGAAAGAUUAAGUCAAAGCUGUUUUAGAAUCAGAGCUCUGUCACGCACACACACACAGACACACACACAUACAUAAUACACAGAUGAAAGCAUUAAGCAAAUAGAGCAGCUCAGACAUGCUCACAGGCUUUAAUUAAAAAGGGAUCCAUAGGCCCAACAAACUCUAGACACACCGCCAUCGUAAUAGUCUCAUAUUCAUGCACGUUGGUGUCUGGUUACCAUGGCGCUAAACAAAUGGGGGAAAUGGUUAAAUUAGCCGCACAUGACACGAUAAAUAGGUGAUAAAUUCUCCUGGUGAAGAAUGAUAUCAGUGUUAUUUCAAAGGAAUACAGAGUGAGACAGAAACGAUAGAUCUGCUGAAGGAUCAGCUGGAAAUAUUUCACCCAGAGAUCCGAUAACCUGGUGAAUACUGUUCGGAUCUGUUUAUGUAAUCAGACUGAAGCGCUGUGAAAUUGAAUAUCUCACGUUUCUGCUUUUCCACCACUGUGUCGCUUUCGAAGUCUCAUUUGAUUGAGCCGCUCUUGUUUUUGGGGGGCGUUUAUUCAUGUGAUGAGAGUCGUCUUUGUAACAAGGCGGCGCUCGUAUUUGCAUUCGCCCAUCGGGGCAGCUGCAGUGCUGUACAGUUAUGUCUACUGUGGGCAGCAAAAUGGCGGUCACGCAAAUCACAGGGUCUGUCUGCUGGUCGUGGGAGCUGAGGCGAGAGAGGAGGGGGAGGAGGAGGAGGAGGGGGAGGAUUUCAGGGCGUCUGGUUUGAGAAUAUGAGGGAAGGUUGCAGGGUCUAGACUAUGGGGUUGGGGGGGUCGCUCAUGAGGGGAUGAUGGAGUGGGGGGGGGUAUUUGUAGAGGUUAUUAUUUGAAGGGGGGGGUGUCUGGUUUUAGGAGGAGCAAUUAAUGAAGGAGUGAAGAGGAGAGGAGGGGGUUUAGUUUGUCUGCAUUUGUGAACAUGUGUCUGUGUCUCGGACAUUUGCAUAGAGCAAAGAGGGCGUCCAUAUGCCGCGCGGCACGGGGAGGCGAGGCGGGUCUGUCAUUUCAGGGUCUGAGCUGAGCGAAGACCUUGCCAAACACCCAGGAACACACACUUUACCACAGUCCUCACAAUAACUCUGAAGCACUCCUACCAUGCUAGAGCCUCAUGUUAGCAGCAUCACUGUUUCUGUCCUUUUUACCAGCCAAUGAGGGGACGCGGAGCUGCUUUCAGCCAAUAACGGCGCGUAAAGACCCAGGAAGAGGAAGGGAAGGCGCGGAGAGUUUACCCUUGAUGUGCCAGGCGAGAGAGGAUAAACAAUAAAACGCUUCUGCGCGGAGAGAGAGAGAGAGAGAGAGAGAGCACAGGGGGAGGAAGAAAAUGAGCAUCACUCUGCAUUCAUAACCCAGUUGGAAGGCAGAAAGAUAGAAAAUAAAGCAGCUGAUUAUGGGGAAAUAGAGAUCGAACGUCACACAUUUUCUUUGUAUGCCAGACACAGGGUGGUAGAAUGAUUACACGUCAAUCUGAGGGGUACAAAGGCAAAGAAAAGCCCCCCCUCCGCUGAAAAGAAAUGGAGUCAUGAAGACGGCGAGAGCUGCCAGGCAUAAAAACAUAACAAAACUCUUUAACAGGAGCGGAAAGAGGAACAAAAUAUUCCUUCUAAAAUGAUCUCUGUUGAAGAGUGCACUCUUAAUGUGAGGCAAAAAUGAUCAUAAGAGUGUUUCAUUUUCUGCUGUAAAAUCAGACAUGGGAUUUUUAAAACCUAGAUUUAUUAUUCAUGUGUUUAAACAGGACCUUCGUUAUAUCGUUGCUACACAAACGAUAUUCCAGUGUUGCCUUUAGCUCAUGAAAAGAGACACAGAAGAAUUACAGCAUUUUUAAAAAGUCUGUCUCAUAUUUUUAGAGUCACAAAAAAUCUGACUUUAUUUAAUUCAGACCUUUAAUUACUACACAUUAUAUUAAUUUUACAUAAUAGAUUUCAGUUUUUAAUAAUUGCAGUUCUCUUUUUAUAAAAUUUAAACAUAUCCGAAUUAAAGUAGUUCAUUUCAAGGCGAGAGGAAAGGAAAGAAAGGUCUCUCUCUCUCUCUCCAUCUGAGAAGAAAUGAAGUCAUGUAUAGACAGGUCGUGGUCGUCAAAAGGCCUUAAACAUGCAGACAUCCAGACACAGACACAAUGCAGAUCUCCAUAAUGUGGCACAUGAAUACUGGCACGUUUAAACCACGAUCGUCUCGGAGCUGAGGGUCUGAGUGGAGCGUGGGAAUGUGUGGCGAACAUAUGCAGAACAGUCAGGCGCUGGCGAGACGGCCCUGCUAGCAUGAAUGCUGUCGUAGCAGGUGAAAAGAGGACCCUAGAGUUCAGGGGUCAAGGCCAGUGCAGGGGCUGUCUGGCUCAUGUGUGUGUGUGUGUGUGUGUGUGUGUGUGUGCGUGUGUCUAUGUGUGUGUGAGAGAGAGAGACACGCACACACUCUGGUUGUCGUCUGGGUCUUGAUGCUAAUGAAGUAGCCCGGCUGUUUGAUAAGCACUGCUGUCUAUUGUUAGCCCAGUCUGGUGCUUCAGAGAGGACUAGACGGGGUGUAGGUUUGGACAAGAGCUCCUUCAUCAUGUUCUAGUCGCAGCAGAGCAGCAGACAGGCAGAUCGACAGGCAGCCUGAAGUCAGGCCUCCCCUGCUGAAACUCUGAUUGUGUUGUCUAGAAGACUUCUGUGCUUUCUCUGACGUUCCCCCUCUGAGUGACACGUUGGUCUAGGGCUCUGCAGUGUGGUGCCGCUCU
Molecule: long non-coding RNA, 18382 nt
Filed under: Xyrichtys novacula (pearly razorfish)
Lineage: Eukaryota; Metazoa; Chordata; Actinopteri; Labriformes; Labridae
Rfam family: mir-9/mir-79 microRNA precursor family (bases 4355-4427)
Source: RNAcentral